AAGCGUUAGUUUGGCCGUUAAUUUUGAUUGUUCACAAGUUUAAUUGUCGAAAUAUCUUUUAAUUUCUAAAGAAUAAGUAAUUAUUAUGGUGAUUAAAGUGAUCAGGAUGGCCCAAGUGUCAUUCAGGGCCCAAAAUCGGCGGUGAUGGCGUUGAUAGGAAGCCAAACUGGAAAUUCGGAAUUUGCAACGGCGUUCCUCUCUGUGGACGCUCUUUCUCUAAUAUGACCUAGGUGGAGAGCCGCUUCAGGAAUUGCUGAAGAAUUUCAGAAAGAAAAAAACUUGACUUUGGCAAAGUCGCAGGUGAGGUCUUAUCGCGUCGUUUCGUUCGACGUUAUCCAUCAGCAUUAGCGCCGUACCUUGACAAUAUUAGCAGCUUUUUCUAAUUUUCCUUUUCUGUUAUUUUUGUUACUUUGGACGC
RNAcentral lists this unclassified non-coding RNA (418 nucleotides) under Athalia rosae (coleseed sawfly). Its description in RNAcentral is "misc RNA ENSAEAG00005012537.1". The record is from RNAcentral. Lineage: Eukaryota; Metazoa; Arthropoda; Insecta; Hymenoptera; Athaliidae.